This 1238-nucleotide ribosomal RNA is filed under the name Exiguobacterium profundum. RNAcentral's name for it is "bacterial SSU rRNA". It matches the Rfam family "Bacterial small subunit ribosomal RNA", at positions 34 to 1333 of the family's 1533-position model. The record is from RNAcentral. Lineage: Bacteria; Bacillati; Bacillota; Bacilli; Caryophanales.
CAAUUGCGCGGCUAUAAUGCAGUCGAGCGCAGGAAACCGUCUGAACCCUUCGGGGGGACGACGGCGGAAUGAGCGGGGGACGGGUGAGUAACACGUAAAGAACCUGCCCAUAGGUCUGGGAUAACCACAAGAAAUCCGGGCUAAUACCGGAUGUGUCAUCGGACCGCAUGGUCCGCUGAUGAAAGGGGCUCCGGCGUCUCCCAUGGAUGGCUUUGCGGUGCAUUAGCUAGGUGGUGGGGUAAAGGCCCACCAAGGCGACGAUGCAUAGCCCAGCUGAGAGGGUGAUCGGCCACACUGGGACUGAGACACGGGCCAGACUCCUACGGGAGGGGGCAGUAGGGAAUCUUCCCCAAUGGACGAAAGUCUGAUGGAGCAACGCCGCGUGAACGAUGAAAGCUUUCGGGGCGUAAAGUUCUGUUGUAAGGGAAGAACAAGUGCCGCACGCAAUGGCGGCGCCUUGACGGUACCUUGCGAGAAAGCCACGGCUAACUACAUGCCAGCAGCCGCGGUAAUACGUAGGUGGCAAGCGUUGUCCGGAAUUAUUGGGCGUAAAGCGCGCGCAGGCGGCCUCUUAAGUCUGAUGUGAAAGCCCCCGGCUCAACCGGGGAGGGCCAUUGGAAACUGGGAGGCUUGAGUAUAUGAGAGAAGAGUGGAAUUCCACGUGUAGCGGUGAAAUGCGUACAGAUGUGAAGGAACACCCUUGUCGAAAGCGACUCUUUGGCCUAUAUCUGACGCUGAGGCGCGAAAACGUGGGGAGCAACACGAUUAGAUACCCUGGUAGUCCACGCCGUAAACGAUGAGAGCUAAGUGUUGGAGGGUUCCGCCCUUUGUGCUCAGCUAAGCAUUAACACUCCCCUGGGGAGACAGUCGCAGGCUCAACUCAAGGAUUGACGGGACCCCACACCAGUGGAGCAUGUGGUUUAUUUGAGCACACGGAAAACUUUCCACUCUUGAAUCCCCUGACCGGAAAAAAUGUACCUUCCCUCUGGGGCAGGGUGACAAGUGUGGAUGGUUGCGUCAGCCCCGUCCGAGAGAUGCGUUAAUCCCCAACAAGGCAACCUUGUCUUUUUUGCACAUUCGUUGGCCCCCUAGGAAAUGCCGUGACAACCGAAGAAGGGGGAUAACCAAAUUCAUGCCCUUAAAGUGGGUACACGUGUCAAUGGAGGGCAAGGGACCCAACCCCAGUGGACCAUCCCAAACGUUUCNUUGGAUGGGGGGCACCCCCGUAGACCGAAUCU